RNAcentral lists this transfer RNA (55 nucleotides) under Trichuris rhinopiptheroxella. RNAcentral's name for it is "tRNA-Thr". Lineage: Eukaryota; Metazoa; Nematoda; Enoplea; Trichinellida; Trichuridae. The record is from RNAcentral.
UGCUCUAUAGUUUAUUUUAAAAUGUGGAUUUUGUAAAUCCAAGAUGGAAAAGCAG